GCAUGAUCCAGGCAGAGCGCAUUUUACUUCAGCAUGCAUUGAUGGAUCCUCUCAAUGAACGAUUUGUUUUUCUUUCAGACAGUUGCAUACCUUUAUACAACUUCAGCUACACAUAUGACUACAUAAUGUCUACGCCAAAUAGUUUUGUUGACAGCUUUGCUGAUACAAAAGAAGGCCGCUAUAACCCCAAAAUGCAUCCAAUUAUUCCUGUUCAAAGCUGGAGGAAAGGAUCUCAGUGGGCUGUUCUAAACAGAAAGCAUGCAGAUAUUGUAGUGAAGGAUGAAAUAUUAUUUCCUAUGUUUCAGUUGCACUGCAAGAAAAAACCGCUACCUGAAUUUUGGCGGGAUCAGUAUGUGCCUCCAGAUACAUCCAAGAUUCAUAAUUGUAUACCUGAUGAACACUAUGUCCAAACUCUGCUUGCUCAUGAAGGGCUUGAAGGUGAAAUUACACGGAGGACACUGACUCACACUGCAUGGCUUAUUUUAUCCUCCAAGGAGCGUGAACGAAAAGGAUGGCAUCCUGUUACCUAUAAAUUAGCCGAUGCUACUCCCAUGUUAAUCCAAUCUAUCAAGGACAUAGACAAUAUAAAUUAUGAGACAGAACACCGGAGAGAGUG
RNAcentral lists this unclassified non-coding RNA (616 nucleotides) under Hevea brasiliensis (rubber tree). Lineage: Eukaryota; Viridiplantae; Streptophyta; Magnoliopsida; Malpighiales; Euphorbiaceae. The record is from RNAcentral.